RNAcentral lists this transfer RNA (74 nucleotides) under Ganoderma lucidum G.260125-1. RNAcentral describes it as "tRNA-Asn (GTT) (tRNA-Asn-GTT-4-1)". It matches the Rfam family "tRNA". Rfam says of the family: Transfer RNA (tRNA) molecules are approximately 80 nucleotides in length. Their secondary structure includes four short double-helical elements and three loops (D, anti-codon, and T loops). Lineage: Eukaryota; Fungi; Basidiomycota; Agaricomycetes; Polyporales; Polyporaceae. The record is from RNAcentral.
UGCCCCGUGGCUGAGUUGGUUACAGCGUCCGACUGUUAAUCGGAAGGUCGUGAGUUCGAGCCUUACCGGGGCAG